This is a long non-coding RNA of Mytilus trossulus (common blue mussel), 242 nucleotides long. RefSeq lists it as uncharacterized. NCBI's taxonomy places the organism in Eukaryota, Metazoa, Mollusca, Bivalvia, Mytilida, Mytilidae. The transcript has 3 exons. The record is from RefSeq and is a predicted model, not a curated record.
AUAAAUGUGUAGUCUGUGUAAAUAUUUGUCAUCAACUGUAUGCAUAUGACUAGAACUGGACUAACCGGGGUUACGAAUUAGAACGGUUUAACUGAUCUUAUUCAUAACAGUUGAUAGGUUCACCGAAGGAGGUAAAAAUAUUGCUUUUGCGAAUAAUACACCAACAUGGAAACUGCACAGAAAAAUUGCGGGAAAGGCAUUAAGGCAAUAUAUGAUUGGAACUCAUUUCGAAGCAGUGCUUC